UUUCUCUAAACAUGUUUGAGCCU
Molecule: small nuclear RNA, 23 nt
Filed under: Arabidopsis thaliana (thale cress)
Lineage: Eukaryota; Viridiplantae; Streptophyta; Magnoliopsida; Brassicales; Brassicaceae
Description: snRNA_07379
Source: RNAcentral